GUAGUUUGAUCGUGGCUCAGGAUGAACGCUGGCGGCGUGCUUAACACAUGCAAGUCGAACGAAGCGCCUUAUUUGAUUUUCUUCGGAACUGAAGAUUUGGUGACUGAGUGGCGGACGGGUGAGUAACGCGUGGGUAACCUGCCCUGUACAGGGGAUAACAAUCAGAAAUGACUGCUAAUACCGCAUAAGACCACAGCACCGCAUGGUGCAGGGGUAAAAAACUCCGGUGGUUACAGGAUUGGACCCGCGUCUUGAUUAGCUGGUUGGUGAGGUAAACGGCUCACCAAGGCGACGAUCAGUAGCCGGCUUGAGAGAGUGAACGGCCACAUUGGGACUGAGACACGGCCCAAAACUCCUAC
RNAcentral lists this ribosomal RNA (359 nucleotides) under uncultured microorganism. RNAcentral's name for it is "bacterial SSU rRNA". It matches the Rfam family "Bacterial small subunit ribosomal RNA", at positions 9 to 342 of the family's 1533-position model. The record is from RNAcentral.